AGACCCGAAACCCGGUGAUCUAGCCAUGGGCAGGUUGAAGGUUGGGUAACACUAACUGGAGGACCGAACCGACUAAUGUUGAAAAAUUAGCGGAUGACUUGUGGCUGGGGGUGAAAGGCCAAUCAAACCGGGAGAUAGCUGGUUCUCCCCGAAAGCUAUUUAGGUAGCGCCUCGUGAAUUCAUCUCCGGGGGUAGAGCACUGUUUCGGCAAGGGGGUCAUCCCGACUUACCAACCCGAUGCAAACUGCGAAUACCGGAGAAUGUUAUCACGGGAGACACACGGCGGGUGCUAACGUCCGUCGUGAAGAGGGAAACAACCCAGACCGCCAGCUAAGGUCCCAAAGUCAUGGUUAAGUGGGAAACGAUGUGGGAAGGCCCAGACAGCCAGGAUGUUGGCUUAGAAGCAGCCAUCAUUUAAAGAAAGCGUAAUAGCUCACUGGUCGAGUCGGCCUGCGCGGAAGAUGUAACGGGGCUAAACCAUGCACCGAAGCUGCGGCAGCGACACUAUGUGUUGUUGGGUAGGGGAGCGUUCUGUAAGCCUGUGAAGGUGUACUGUGAGGUAUGCUGGAGGUAUCAGAAGUGCGAAUGCUGACAUAAGUAACGAUAAAGCGGGUGAAAAGCCCGCUCGCCGGAAGACCAAGGGUUCCUGUCCAACGUUAAUCGGGGCAGGGUGAGUCGACCCCUAAGGCGAGGCCGAAAGGCGUAGUCGAUGGGAAACAGGUUAAUAUUCCUGUACUUGGUGUUACUGCGAAGGGGGGACGGAGAAGGCUAUGUUGGCCGGGCGACGGUUGUCCCGGUUUAAGCGUGUAGGCUGGUUUUCCAGGCAAAUCCGGAAAAUCAAGGCUGAGGCGUGAUGACGAGGCACUACGGUGCUGAAGCGACAAAUGCCCUGCUUCCAGGAAAAGCCUCUAAGCAUCAGGUAACAUCAAAUCGUACCCCAAACCGACACAGGUGGUCAGGUAGAGAAUACCAAGGCGCUUGAGAGAACUCGGGUGAAGGAACUAGGCAAAAUGGUGCCGUAACUUCGGGAGAAGGCACGCUGAUAUGUAGGUGAAGCGACUUGCUCGUGGAGCUGAAAUCAGUCGAAGAUACCAGCUGGCUGCAACUGUUUAUUAAAAACACAGCACUGUGCAAACACGAAAGUGGACGUAUACGGUGUGACGCCUGCCCGGUGCCGGAAGGUUAAUUGAUGGGGUUAGCGGUAACGCGAAGCUCUUGAUCGAAGCCCCGGUAAACGGCGGCCGUAACUAUAACGGUCCUAAGGUAGCGAAAUUCCUUGUCGGGUAAGUUCCGACCUGCACGAAUGGCGUAAUGAUGGCCAGGCUGUCUCCACCCGAGACUCAGUGAAAUUGAACUCGCUGUGAAGAUGCAGUGUACCCGCGGCAAGACGGAAAGACCCCGUGAACCUUUACUAUAGCUUGACACUGAACAUUGAGCCUUGAUGUGUAGGAUAGGUGGGAGGCUUUGAAGUGUGGACGCCAGUCUGCAUGGAGCCGACCUUGAAAUACCACCCUUUAAUGUUUGAUGUUCUAACGUGGGCCCCUUACCGGGGUUGCGGACAGUGUCUGGUGGGUAGUUUGACUGGGGCGGUCUCCUCCUAAAGAGUAACGGAGGAGCACGAAGGUUGGCUAAUCCUGGUCGGACAUCAGGAGGUUAGUGCAAUGGCAUAAGCCAGCUUGACUGCGAGCGUGACGGCGCGAGCAGGUGCGAAAGCAGGUCAUAGUGAUCCGGUGGUUCUGAAUGGAAGGGCCAUCGCUCAACGGAUAAAAGGUACUCCGGGGAUAACAGGCUGAUACCGCCCAAGAGUUCAUAUCGACGGCGGUGUUUGGCACCUCGAUGUCGGCUCAUCACAUCCUGGGGCUGAAGUAGGUCCCAAGGGUAUGGCUGUUCGCCAUUUAAAGUGGUACGCGAGCUGGGUUUAGAACGUCGUGAGACAGUUCGGUCCCUAUCUGCCGUGGGCGCUGGAGAACUGAGGGGGGCUGCUCCUAGUACGAGAGGACCGGAGUGGACGCAUCACUGGUGUUCGGGUUGUCAUGCCAAUGGCACUGCCCGGUAGCUAAAUGCGGAAGAGAUAAGUGCUGAAAGCAUCUAAGCACGAAACUUGCCCCGAGAUGAGUUCUCCCUGACUCCUUGAGAGUCCUGAAGGAACGUUGAAGACGACGACGUUGAUAGGCCGGGUGUGUAAGCGCAGCGAUGCGUUGAGCUAACCGGUACUAAUGAACCGUGAGGCUUAACCUUACAACGCCGAAG
Molecule: ribosomal RNA, 2250 nt
Filed under: Escherichia coli
Lineage: Bacteria; Pseudomonadati; Pseudomonadota; Gammaproteobacteria; Enterobacterales; Enterobacteriaceae
Description: partial 23S ribosomal RNA
Rfam family: Bacterial large subunit ribosomal RNA
Source: RNAcentral